This 282-nucleotide ribosomal RNA is filed under the name Limosilactobacillus fermentum. Its description in RNAcentral is "Lactobacillus fermentum partial 16S ribosomal RNA". It matches the Rfam family "Bacterial small subunit ribosomal RNA", at positions 380 to 655 of the family's 1533-position model. The record is from RNAcentral. Lineage: Bacteria; Bacillati; Bacillota; Bacilli; Lactobacillales; Lactobacillaceae.
AGCCUGAUGGAGCAACACCGCGUGAGUGAAGAAGGGUUUCGGCUCGUAAAGCUCUGUUGUUAAAGAAGAACACGUAUGAGAGUAACUGUUCAUACGUUGACGGUAUUUAACCAGAAAGUCACGGCUAACUACGUGCCAGCAGCCGCGGUAAUACGUAGGUGGCAAGCGUUAUCCGGAUUUAUUGGGCGUAAAGAGAGUGCAGGCGGUUUUCUAAGUCUGAUGUGAAAGCCUUCGGCUUAACCGGAGAAGUGCAUCGGAAACUGGAUAACUGAGUGCAGAAGA